ACAGCAGUCGCCACGGUAAAACAGAGGGUGCGAGCGUUAAUCGGAUUUACUGGGCGUAAAGCGUGCGUAGGCGGCUUUUUAAGUCGGAUGUGAAAUCCCUGAGCUUAACUUAGGAAUUGCAUUCGAUACUGGGAAGCUAGAGUAUGGGAGAGGAUGGUAGAAUUCCAGGUGUAGCGGUGAAAUGCGUAGAGAUCUGGAGGAAUACCGAUGGCGAAGGCAGCCAUCUGGCCUAAUACUGACGCUGAGGUACGAAAGCAUGGGGAGCAAACAGGAUUAGAUACCCCAGUAGUCCCUGUCUCUUAUAC
Molecule: ribosomal RNA, 305 nt
Filed under: uncultured bacterium
Lineage: Bacteria
Description: partial 16S ribosomal RNA
Rfam family: Bacterial small subunit ribosomal RNA
Source: RNAcentral